CCCUGGUUAUUCAAGCUCAGUCAUUAGCACCCUGUCCCCCCACUGAAAUUAUGAAUGAAAAGCCUUGUUGUUCUUUACAAAUAACUCGGGCUUCCUCAGUCAGUCAAAUUCAAAUGGCAGUGACUGCCAGACAAAGCGCCUGUAUGAUGGACAGUCCUCUCAGCAAGCCAUCAAGGCACACAGGAAGUUUUUAAAGGCACAAUCUAGGAGCCCACCUGCCUGGAUCUGAUUUCAGCCUUGGAGCUGUCAUUUCCUGCCAUCACAUGAGGUCACUCCAUAGGAAGGAAGAUUUGCAUAUUUUUUUAAAUUUUCUUUGUAACAUGAUGGAACCAAAGAAAUCUCUCUUGUGCCAGACAGUAAGAACCUAGGUUGCUGGGACAACACGUCAACUGCAAAAAAACCUUAAAAUAAAGGUGGCAC
Oenanthe melanoleuca is the source of this 420-nucleotide long non-coding RNA. RefSeq lists it as uncharacterized. Lineage: Eukaryota; Metazoa; Chordata; Aves; Passeriformes; Muscicapidae. The transcript is spliced from 4 exons. The record is from RefSeq and is a predicted model, not a curated record.